UACGUAGGUGGCAAGCGUUAUCCGGAUUUAUUGGGCGUAAAGGGAACGCAGGCGGUCUUUUAAGUCUGAUGUGAAAGCCUUCGGCUUAACCGAAGUAGUGCAUUGGAAACUGGGAGACUUGAGUGCAGAAGAGGAGAGUGGAACUCCAUGUGUAGCGGUGAAAUGCGUAGAUAUAUGGAAGAACACCAGUGGCGAAAGCGGCUCUCUGGUCUGUAACUGACGUUGAGGCUCGAAAGCGUGGGGAGCAAACAGG
This 253-nucleotide ribosomal RNA is filed under the name uncultured bacterium. Its description in RNAcentral is "partial 16S ribosomal RNA". It matches the Rfam family "Bacterial small subunit ribosomal RNA", at positions 524 to 776 of the family's 1533-position model. The record is from RNAcentral.